RNAcentral lists this ribosomal RNA (253 nucleotides) under uncultured bacterium. RNAcentral describes it as "partial 16S ribosomal RNA". It matches the Rfam family "Bacterial small subunit ribosomal RNA", at positions 524 to 776 of the family's 1533-position model. The record is from RNAcentral.
UACGAAGGGGGCUAGCGUUGCUCGGAAUCACUGGGCGUAAAGGGCUCGUAGGCGGUCUGUCGCGUCGGGAGUGAAAACUCAGGGCUUAACCCUGAGCCUGCUUCCGAUACGGGCAGACUAGAGGUAUGCAGGGGAGAACGGAAUUCCUGGUGUAGCGGUGAAAUGCGCAGAUAUCAGGAGGAACACCGGUGGCGAAGGCGGUUCUCUGGGCAUUACCUGACGCUGAGGAGCGAAAGUGUGGGGAGCGAACAGG